Long non-coding RNA from Cyclopterus lumpus (lumpfish), 1682 nucleotides. RefSeq lists it as uncharacterized. Lineage: Eukaryota; Metazoa; Chordata; Actinopteri; Perciformes; Cyclopteridae. The transcript is spliced from 3 exons. The record is from RefSeq and is a predicted model, not a curated record.
UAUGCGUGUGUGUGCGCGUGUGUGUGCGCGUGUGUGUGUUGCUGACAGAAUAAAACCAAGCCUUGUCUAUACACUACAGUCAGACAGACAGUCAGUCAGGUAGACAGACAGGUUCCUCCAAACUCCUCAGUCUGCAAUAAGUUACUUCCUCUCUUUCUUAUUUUCUUUCCUCCAGCGGGACAGCGGGAGUUCCGCAGCUCUGAGGCCGCCUCAGAACGCUCCCUGCUCGGCCGGAUCUGGCGCCAGGCCCCGCUGCCCCCGCUGGAGGAAGCCCGGAGGCGAACGAACAGGGAAACUGGAACGGGCGGGUCUUCAAGGGGCGCCAUGUUGUGUCCGCCCGUCGUGGAUCGUCCCGAAAGAACCGGACCGGAUCACACCAGACUGGACCCGGUUUCACCGGAUCAAAACCAGACUAGGACCGCAGGGACCGGACUGAACAGAGUGAUCAGAGUACAGUGUACAGUAUACUUUUGUGUUACACACACACACACACACACACACGCACACACGCACACACGCGCACACACACACACACACCAUUGAUCCGGUCUGAUCUGGUUAGGUCCGACCCGGUUGGACCUGGUCCAAUAAUUUCUCCCCUCUUCCCUUCAGGGGAGUGACGGGAGCGAGGGCGGGGCUAUUGAAUCAGGGGACACAAAGAAAGCUGAUUGGUCCACAAAUGGUAAAACCCCACCCCCCUUCAUCUCAUUCCCCCCCCCUACCCAUCUUAAGCAUCCUAUUGGUUGCCUACAUCUCGCAAAAAAACUAAACAGAGCGAGCCUUUCUCCCAUUGGUCACCACAGCCUCAGGCAAUAAAAGGCCGAUUUCCCAUUGGUCAGUUUUGAUAACACGCCAACUGUCAGUCACUCAGCAGCGGCCAAUCAGGUCACAGAACAGUACUCGUGGAACUUUCUGGAAUAAGAAAAAGAAGAAAAAAAAGAACAAUGAUGAUGAAUACGGAGAUCUGCCAAUCAGACGGCCUCACGAGUAAAAACAAACAGGAAGUGGGAGGAGCUUCCAAGCCCCAUAUGGAACUUAUUUUUCUGGAUUUUGUUGUUUGUUGUUGUUUUUGUUCUCUGAUUUUGUCCGUGUGAGUUUCGUACUUUCUUUCUCCAACAGCUGAUUUCAGUGCAAUGCAUCAUGGAACGAUCGAUCGCUAGGAGAGGGUGUGUCACUACAUGUGUGUGUGCGUGUGUGUGUGGUGUGUGUGUGUCCUGUUGUCAUGGAAACAUGCUGCAGGGUUAGCGCUCCAGCAGCAGAGGGGGGGGGGUUGGGAGUUUGGGUUUUUUGGGGGAGGUUGGUGCUGUGUUGCAUCAUGGGCAAUGUGUUUGUCCGUCUCUCUCUUAGCUGGUGUCCAUGGACUCCAUGUUGGCGGAGCUGGAGUCCCUCUGGAUGGAGUCAAAGAUGGCCGCCAGCUCCUGAUUGGACGAGAUCUGCGACUGGAACUCCGACAUCAGCGGCGACUUCUCGGCCUCGGGGAUCGUCAGCAGCGCCACGACGGCGCGCAUCGCCGACCGCUUCAGCUCGUCCUGCUUCUCGAACUCCUGCUUCACGGAGUUGGCCUUCACCUGCAGAGACAAUGAUGAGGUGGCUCUCAGCGGCUCCACCAGUCUGUCCAGUCUCUGGAGGACAGCACUGGGACACAGAGACGACAGUCUGGCCAACAUCAGGAACGUCAGCAU